CCUUGUUUGUGUAUUUCAAUUCUUUGUACAUUGGAAAGAAGUGGAACAAACACUUAUCUUUAUGACUGUGCGCAGGGACGAAGCUUCGGACGACACUGAUGACGUGAUCAGCAGCGACCGAACCGAGCACCGAUACAUUUGCUUUGCCUUGCACUGGUUCAUAUUUUGACACAAGUUUCGACGCUGGAGGGUCGGAGGUAACAACACUAGUGCGUGGCGUCCCAUGUGCUGCACGGAGCGUCUUUUGUGUCUCCCCAUUCCGCGUCAUCGACAGUGCCAGCCUGUCUGCCGACUGAGGUUGGAGGAGGAAGCGUGGCCUUCAAGCCGCCAAACCGGCGUCGUUGUGGUGCACCACCCUGGCGCAGGAGCACUGAAGCUUCUACGUCCCGCCAGUGGCUCACCUGCUGAAGCGGGCCUCUAAACAGUGCGGGACCCCCCACUGCUGUUCUGUUUGGGCUGUUUUUCUGUUGUGAUUUAAUCAAUCUUUUUGUGUGUGUGUGUGUGUGUGUGGGGCAGGGGGGGGGGGUCUCCUGGCUGGUAUUGCGUUACUAAUGGUGGCUAUUAUUUUUAUGAACAGGAUGUUGGUGCCACUGGUAGUAGUGACUGGCUGAUUCGAUGGUGGUUCGCUUCAUUUUUUCGUUGCAGUGCACCUCGGUGUCAAUAGUUGGUGUGUGUGUGUGUGGUUUUUUUUGUUUUUCACGUGUGGUGGAACAUUAGGCCCCUUCCCCCUCAGCAAGUCAACUCUGCCAGUGAGCGCUCAGUCUCAGCCCCUUUUUGUACGUUGCAUCCCUUGAUAACCUGAACGACUGAGAACCUGAGAAAGAUUUUAAAGAUUUUACGGAAAUUCCAUUGGUGAUGUUGUUGGCUUUUAAUAGUAAAUACAGAUCUCCCUCUUAGUAUUGCCACAUUAUCCUUAAAUGUCAGUUGGUCCAUAGUGACAAGUCCGAAAGAAUAUGUAUUUGGAUAUGUGACGCUCAGUCUAUAUGGACAGCUUCCACUCGGAUGUUGACAGACACUCCUGCCAAGGAGGAUGACGUCCGUCGUGACUCCAGGUCUCAGUGUGAAAGACAACUUGUAUAACAAUGAUCCAACUUUCUGUUUCAACACACAUUUUAUGAGAAUAAAUGAAAAAAAGAAAGUCUUGGUAUCUGUCGCAAUAGGAGAGUCUAAAAUAUAAGGCUAUGUAUUAAUUUAAAAAUAAUGGAAUAGAAGUUGAAAAAUGUUAAGUUAAAAAAAGUGCACCAGCGAACAAAGUGACAAGUAAAAGUAACUGUGUGGAGUGUGAAGGGAGUGACUGGUGGGAUGCCAGUCAGUCAGUG
This is a long non-coding RNA of Gasterosteus aculeatus aculeatus (three-spined stickleback), 1319 nucleotides long. Lineage: Eukaryota; Metazoa; Chordata; Actinopteri; Perciformes; Gasterosteidae. The record is from Ensembl.